Molecule: transfer RNA, 74 nt
Filed under: Planctomycetaceae bacterium
Lineage: Bacteria; Pseudomonadati; Planctomycetota; Planctomycetia; Planctomycetales; Planctomycetaceae
Also listed under: 2 other names
Description: tRNA-Ile
Rfam family: tRNA
About the family: Transfer RNA (tRNA) molecules are approximately 80 nucleotides in length. Their secondary structure includes four short double-helical elements and three loops (D, anti-codon, and T loops).
Source: RNAcentral
GGGUCAGUAGCUCAGUUGGUUAGAGCGGGGGACUCAUAAUCCCUAGGUCGUGGGUUCAAGUCCUACCUGACCUA